AUGUAAGUUUAGAAUCGCCGUCCGGGUUUCUUCCGGUUUCCGUUAUCUGGAUUUUUUCCGGCUAUUAUCUCCCGUUGAUCGGGAUUUAGAUUUCUUUUUGGGCAAUUUUGAAUUCGGUUUCUUCGGAUUUGUUUUUGUUUUGUAGCUUUAAAAUCUUGAUGAUGAAACAUUAUGACAGGCAGAAUCUUCAGUUCCGAAGAGGUGUUCUCUUCGCAUGAUUU
This is a long non-coding RNA of Arabidopsis thaliana (thale cress), 221 nucleotides long. RefSeq annotates it as other RNA. The transcript has a single exon. The record is from RefSeq. Lineage: Eukaryota; Viridiplantae; Streptophyta; Magnoliopsida; Brassicales; Brassicaceae.